This 433-nucleotide ribosomal RNA is filed under the name uncultured bacterium. RNAcentral's name for it is "partial 16S ribosomal RNA". It matches the Rfam family "Bacterial small subunit ribosomal RNA", at positions 29 to 507 of the family's 1533-position model. The record is from RNAcentral.
AACGAACGCUGGCGGCAUGCCUAACACAUGCAAGUCGAACGAGACCUUCGGGUCUAGUCGCGCUCGGGUGCGUUACGCGUGGGAACCUGCCCUUGGGUUCGGUAUACCUCCCCGAAAGGGGUGCUAAUACCGGAUAAUGUCUUCUGACCAAAGAUUCAUCGCCUUUGGAUGGGUCCGCGUUGGAUUAGCUAGUUGGUAGGUUAAAAGCAUACCCAGGCGACGAACCAUAGCUGGUCGGGGAAGAGGAUCAGCCACACUGGGAAUGAGACACGGCCCAGACUGGGAGGGAGGGGUGAGGUAGAUAGUAUUGUGGAAUGGGCGAAGACCUGAGACAGCAACGUGGGGGGAGAGAUGAAGGGCUUAGGGUUGUAAAGCUAUUUUAGAAGAGAUGAAAGUGACAGUACCGGGAGAAUAAGCACCGGCUAACUACGUG